AAGUCGUAACAAGGUUUCCGUAGGUGAACCUGCGGAAGGAUCAUUAUUGAAAUAAACCUGAUGGGUUGUUGCUGGUUCUCUAGGGAGCAUGUGCACACCUUGUCAUCUUUAUAUCUCCACCUGUGCACCUUUUGUAGGCCUUCCAGGUCUAUGUUGCUUUUCCAUUUACCCCAAUGUAUGUUAAUAGAAUGUUGUGCAUAUAAAAUCUAUACAACUUUCAGCAACGGAUCUCUUGGCUCUCGCAUCGAUGAAGAACGCAGCGAAAUGCGAUAAGUAAUGUGAAUUGCAGAAUUCAGUGAAUCAUCGAAUCUUUGAACGCACCUUGCGCUCCUUGGUAUUCCGAGGAGCAUGCCUGUUUGAGUGUCAUUAAUAUAUAUCAACCUUCUCAUUUUUGAGUGGUUUGGAUGUGGGGGUUUGCUGGCCUCUUAAAUGAGUUCAGCUCCUCUGAAAUGCAUUAGCAGAACAACCCUGUUCAUUGGCGUGAUAACUAUCUACGCUAUUGAAUGUGAGGGACGGUUCAGCUUUCUAACAGUCCUUGGACAACUUAUCAUUUAUGUGACCUCAAAUCAGGUAGGACUACCCGCUGAACUUAA
This 593-nucleotide ribosomal RNA is filed under the name uncultured Cortinarius. RNAcentral describes it as "eukaryotic LSU rRNA". The stretch from base 213 to 366 matches the Rfam family "5.8S ribosomal RNA". The record is from RNAcentral. Lineage: Eukaryota; Fungi; Basidiomycota; Agaricomycetes; Agaricales; Cortinariaceae.